UGAAUAAAUCUCAUAGGAGUUGGGAUGAAGAAGUUAUCCCACUUUCAAAUCAGGUGAUUCCAGUUUCCCAGUUUGGGAAUAGGACAGCUUCUUCAUGUUGAACUGAAGAGAAGAUAGAGCUUGUGUUAACUUGAAGAAUAGAAAUGGAGUGAAAGGAGAAGUAUGGAGGAGUUAGGUCUGGUACAAAGAUAGGGCAAGUCCUUUAGGGAUUGUCUAUCAAGCUUCAGGAGUGUCUCUUUGUGUCCAGAAGUGAUCUGAUGGUUGUGCAAAGAUAGGGCCAAGUCCAGGAGGGACUUAGAAGAGUAUUUAGGCGAGUGUGCAAACUUAGGGACUGGCCGUACGGAUUUGGUACGGACGUUGUACGGACCGUACGGAUCCGUACGGACCAAGACAUCCCGAAAGUUCACCAGUCGACCAUUUGAGCACAUUUGAGGUUGGUGCAAAAAUAGGGCAGAGGUAAGCUCUUAAGAGAAGAAGACAAAAGAAGGAAGCUGGCGCCAAAGACAGGCUGGAACAGGCUGGCCAAGAGCUGUGUAUUGACCAUGUAUCUAGUCUGAUAUAUGGGAAAGUUCAAGGGAGCCUUACAGCAACCAAUCAGGCACCAGUCUCCACAUUGACCAGAUUCAAAUGAGCCAAUCAUGAAGCAACAAGAGCACAGCCAAUGAAGAAUCACGACCAGCCUUACUCUCCAUCCUAUCCAUCCAUUUAAAUUCAAGUUAUAUCAGCCAUUAGAUUUAGGUUUAUGAUUUGCAUCUUGUAAGAGCAUAUAUAAGCUUAUAUGUGGCAUUUUGUAUGAACUAAGUGAGUAAGGGGGUUUCCCUUCUCCUUCUCUAAUCUGAAACACUUUCUCUUAGUCU
This is a long non-coding RNA of Brassica rapa (field mustard), 857 nucleotides long. RefSeq lists it as uncharacterized. The record is from RefSeq and is a predicted model, not a curated record. Lineage: Eukaryota; Viridiplantae; Streptophyta; Magnoliopsida; Brassicales; Brassicaceae.